Molecule: long non-coding RNA, 171 nt
Organism: Oncorhynchus masou masou (cherry salmon)
Lineage: Eukaryota; Metazoa; Chordata; Actinopteri; Salmoniformes; Salmonidae
Exons: 3
Source: RefSeq, a predicted model, not a curated record
CCGGCACACGUUGAGUGCAGCCGCUUGCCUGUAACGCAACGCUCUGGGGGUUCCCUAUCUGCCCUCUACGUUGGUAGAGGAGGCUCUGAAAAGGGCUUUAGAACGUACUAAUGCUGCUUACGCCCACACCAAGGAGAGGGUGAAGACAUCUCUGUCGGAGGGUGCUCUGAG